AAACAAGAGUUUUGGUGAAAUUGUCAUUUUUCCAGGUAAUUUUUUGUGCACAAGUUAUAUUCACACAAUUUGAGGGUCAAUGGAAAAGUGAGUAUUGUGGAUCAGGCACCUCUUCUAGUCUUUGGUCUGACCAGAAGAGGAGGUCUCAGGAGGUUCAGAUCAAAUCGAACCUCAUCUACAUUUUGAAAACACUUUUUAAUUCUUACUUUUAUACUGAUUACAGGAUGCCAAACAAUAGAACAAAAGAAGAAGAAAGAGAAAUUAAAGAUAGAACAUCAUCUGUAAAGGUGGACACAGCCCAUGUACCGGACCAAAUGUGGAAAUCCGGUCCAAAGUCUACCAAAAGAUACUAUAAAACUAAACUCUGCACUAGGUUUGAGUUGGUUAAAGCUCCAGUCAUGGUCAAAUGUUUUGUCAGUGACAUAAAUGGCUGAAGGCGGUGGCAUGGUUGGAGCUAGGAGGCUCUGUGUUUGAUUCCCAGGACUGUUCUGUGUUGACUUUUAUGGUUUCUGGGUUACCUUCAGUUUUCCAUUCCAUCAAAGAGGUUAAUAGGUUAAUUCUCUUGUCAGUGCCCUUGACCACAGUACUGGAGUUGGUCUCCAUGGACCUUUAAUGGUAGCUCACUGCUGCUAAUCUUCUAAUUACUGAUGCUAAUGCUAGGUACUGUGGGUAAUAGGAUGGAUAAAAUACAGAAACUGCAGUGAAGCGAGUUAACCUUUAAAUUUUACUUUUGCAAAUGUUGCUGAUUCAAUUCCUUUCGAUUCAUAGUGAAUUAUUUAUUAUUUAAAAGACUUAUAUUGGCAAAUAGAUAUAUAACAUUUAGGCAAGUAGUCAUAUUUUUGUUACUGCAAAACUCUUUGGCCACAACUGCAGUCUUUAGGUUUCCCCUGUUUGUUGUGCUACAGUUUAUUUUCUACAAUAUAAUUUGUAAGGGUACAGUAAUUUUAGAGUUACAACAAUGAAUCAAUCAGUUUUAGAAUUAAUAAAUUUUUUUAGGUAUUUUCAAGCAAAUAUGCCAAUGGUUUGACAGCAGCCUAUCAAUCUUCUCAGCUCUGUUAGAAAAGGCAAUAAGGCAUUUAUUUAGGCAUUUUCCAGGACAUCAAACUGCUCCUUUAUUACCCUGUGUGCCAAUGAAGCAUGUUAUUAUUUUCACUCAUGGCUGUCUGUGUGUGGGAUGGGGCCACUAUAACACAAAUGCAUUUUAAACUUGUUUUUUGAACCAAGUGACUAUAAAAAAAUUGAUUUUUGUGCAUGUAGGUUAUGAAUGAACAAAAAGGGGCCCACAGUUCUUUUUUCCUCAUGCAGUGUUUGCAUCCGCAGUCAGAUGUGGAUCAUGGUGGUUUUGCGUCAGCUGCUCAUUAACUGAUCCAAAUGAAGUCUGGUUUAGAACACAGAGGUCUUGCAGGCGGUCUCUUUACAUGCACAGGUCAGGAGUUCGGUGUCCAUGCUCAGCGACAUGUUAUGACGCAACAAAGGGAAAGCGUUGGAGUCCUUACCCUCGGCCCGGACUCUGGAACCUGAGAUGGAUGAAUCCAGUAAAAUCUUAGAGAACGGCGGUGAGUCUCUCACUGAGCUGUUGUCCUCCGUGCGCGAACAGACCAGUUCUCGGAAACUCUCUCUGAAGCGUGUGGAGAGCAGGCUGUAGAUGAUUGGGUUGACUGCAGAGCUGAGGUAGAAGAGGACGCCUGACAAAAUGUGGACGUACUGAUAAAUGUUGUGCAUCAAGUCGGUCCACUGACUGAUGGAACUCCACAGGAGUCGCUCGAUGUGGAAAGGCGCCCAGCAGAGUCCAAAUACGGCCACCACGAUCGCUGGAGGAUCAGACAGAGAAGCUGAUUAACAAGGUUUUAUCUGAUUCAUAGUGGGAUUUUUGUUAGUUUUAUAGAUAGAUAGAUAGAUAGAUAGACUUUAUUUCUCCCAAACUGGAAAAUUACAGGGAAGACUGAAUGAUAAAAGGACAUCACAUACAC
Molecule: long non-coding RNA, 1970 nt
Organism: Sphaeramia orbicularis (orbiculate cardinalfish)
Lineage: Eukaryota; Metazoa; Chordata; Actinopteri; Kurtiformes; Apogonidae
Exons: 3
Source: RefSeq, a predicted model, not a curated record